UCCUAGAAUAGCCUAGUGGACAUGGCAUCUGCCCGGUAAGCGGAACACUGUGGGUUCGAUUCCCAUCCCUGGAA
This 74-nucleotide transfer RNA is filed under the name Cordylochernes scorpioides. Its description in RNAcentral is "tRNA-Thr". It matches the Rfam family "tRNA". Rfam says of the family: Transfer RNA (tRNA) molecules are approximately 80 nucleotides in length. Lineage: Eukaryota; Metazoa; Arthropoda; Arachnida; Pseudoscorpiones; Chernetidae. The record is from RNAcentral.